CUUCGGUUCCGCAGGAGAUCACCUUCUUCAACAAACUAAUCAUGGAGUGCGCAAUGAUGCUAAAACGUAAGGCUUGUUUCUCAAAACAUUCGCAGUGGCUGCCUAAGUGCUUUCGCUUUCGCCAGGCUUGAGAGCAUAUGCUGCAUUUUUCCUUCCUUGGAUGUCUGAGCUGCUCUCUCACUAUUUCAUUUUUAAAAUUUUUGAUCAAUUGAAACUUAAAUUUAAGAUUAUUUUGAUUAAAAAAAAAAGUAAUCGUAAUGUCAUUGACUUUGAGAA
Salvia hispanica is the source of this 276-nucleotide non-coding RNA. Lineage: Eukaryota; Viridiplantae; Streptophyta; Magnoliopsida; Lamiales; Lamiaceae. The record is from RefSeq and is a predicted model, not a curated record.